Molecule: small RNA, 186 nt
Filed under: Aplysia californica (California sea hare)
Lineage: Eukaryota; Metazoa; Mollusca; Gastropoda; Aplysiida; Aplysiidae
Description: theromacin
Source: RNAcentral
CAGGAGCUGACGCGUCCACGAUUAUCUACUUCGUCGGGACCACAUCUAGUGAGGCAAUUGGUGCAAACAUAUUGACAUAGGUUUAUUCUUUCCGGGAACUCAGAAAUUCAGAAUUUUGAAGUUUAAUUAAGUAAGCAACACGUUAGAUAAUGGGAUUUCAAAAAUAAAGAUGAAAUUAUGAAGUUU